CCUACGGGAGGCAGCAGUGAGGAAUAUUGGUCAAUGGGCGGAAGCCUGAACCAGCCAAGUAGCGUGCGGGAUGAAGGCCCUACGGGUCGUAAACCGCUUUUGCACGGGGAAAACACCCUCCACUUGUGGAUGUCUGCAGGUACCGCGCGAAUACAGGCCGGCUAAUUCCGUGCCAGCAGCGGCGGUAAUACGGAAGGCCCGAGCGUUAUCCGGAUUCAUUGGGCUUAAGGGGAGCGUAGGCGGGCGUUCAAGUCAGCUGUAAAAUCGCGCGGCUCAACCGCGCCCCGCAGUUGAAACUGGACGCCUUGAGUUCACAACAGGCAGGCGGAAUUCGUGGUGUAGCGGUGAAAUGCAUAGAUAUCACGAGGAACCCCGAUUGCGAAGGCAGCCUGCCGGGGUGCGACUGACGCUGAGGCUCGAAGGUGCGGGUAUCAAACAGGAUUAGAUACCCCAGUAGUC
This 459-nucleotide ribosomal RNA is filed under the name uncultured bacterium. Its description in RNAcentral is "partial 16S ribosomal RNA". It matches the Rfam family "Bacterial small subunit ribosomal RNA", at positions 338 to 795 of the family's 1533-position model. The record is from RNAcentral.